GGAGUAGCUUAAUUGGUAGAGCAUCAGACUCUGAAUCUGAGGGUUAUAGGUUCGAGUCCUAUCUC
RNAcentral lists this transfer RNA (65 nucleotides) under human oral metagenome. It matches the Rfam family "tRNA", at positions 5 to 66 of the family's 71-position model. From Rfam's summary of the family: Transfer RNA (tRNA) molecules are approximately 80 nucleotides in length. Their secondary structure includes four short double-helical elements and three loops (D, anti-codon, and T loops). The record is from RNAcentral.